Molecule: ribosomal RNA, 2725 nt
Filed under: anaerobic digester metagenome
Description: bacterial LSU rRNA
Rfam family: Bacterial large subunit ribosomal RNA
Source: RNAcentral
AGAGCAUAAGGUGGAUGCCUAGGCACUAGGAGCCGAUGAAGGACGUGACGAACUACGAAAAGCCUCGGGGAGCAGUAAGUACGCAGAGAUCCGGGGAUAUCCGAAUGGGGCAACCCAGCAGUUGAAGACUGCUACGAAAGAGGGAACGCAGCGAAUUGAAACAUCUUAGUAGCUGUAGGAAAAGAAAGCAAAAGCGAUUCUGCUAGUAGCGGCGAGCGAAAGCGGAACAGCCCAGUUACCACAUAGAGUUACAAAACCACAUGAUAGAGGAAAGGUAUUGGAAAAGCCUGCCAAAGAGGGUGAAAGCCCCGUAAUCGAAAUUGUGUGGACUCUGGUAACGAAGAGUACGGCGAGACAAGUGGAAUCUUGUCGGAAAAAGGGAGGACCAUCUCCCAAGGCUAAAUACUCCCUAGUGACCGAUAGUGAACCAGUACCGUGAGGGAAAGGUGAAAAGAACCCCGGGAGGGGAGUGAAAGAGAACCUGAAACCCUAUGCUUACAACAAGUCAGAGCCCGUUAAUGGGUGAUGGCGUGCCUUUUGUAGAAUGAACCGGCGAGUUAUGUUAUUGUGCGAGGUUAAGGUUGAAGGACCGGAGCCGAAGCGAAAGCGAGUCUGAAUAGGGCGACAUAGUACAAUGAUAUAGACCCGAAACGGGACGAGCUAGAUAUGAGCAGGUUGAAGUUGGAGUAACAUCUAAUGGAGGACCGAACCGUAGUCCGUUGAAAAGGGCCCGGAUGACUUGUGUCUAGGGGAGAAAUUCCAAUCGAGUUCCGAGAUAGCUGGUUCUCACCGAAAUAGCUUUAGGGCUAGCGUCGAGAAAAGAGUUUAUUGGGGGUAAAGCACUGAAUGUCUGAUGGCCUCAUCUAGGGGUACUGAAUACAAUCAAACUCUGAAUACCAAUAAACACGCUCGGCAGUCAGACUACGGGUGAUAAGGUUCGUGGUCAAGAGGGAAACAGCCCAGAUCGCCAGUUAAGGUCCCAAAAUUUAUGCUAAGUGGGAAAGGAUGUAGUUCCGUAUAGACAGCUAGGAGGUUGGCUUAGAAGCAGCCAUCCUUUAAAGAGUGCGUAACAGCUCACUAGUCGAAUAGAACCGCGCCGAAAAUGUACCGGGGCUAAGCAUAAUACCGAAACUGCGGAAUUAGAGUAAUCUAAUUGGUAGGUGAGCGUUCCAAGGGCAUCGAAGGUAGACCGAGAGGACUACUGGAGCGCUUGGAAGUGAGAAUGCCGGUAUGAGUAACGAAAAGUUGGGUGAGAAUCCCAACCGUCAAAAGUCCAAGGUUUCCAGGGGAAGGUUCGUCCGCCCUGGGUUAGUCAGGUCCUAAGGUGAGGCUGAAAAGCGUAGCUGAUGGACAACAGGUUGAUAUUCCUGUACUACUUGUUUGACUGAAGGAGUGACGGAGAAAGAUAGUUUGGGCCAACGAAUGGAUGUUGGUUGAAGGUAACGAGGCUGUGGUGUAGGCAAAUCCGCAUCACACGAGGCUGAGUACUGAUAACGUAAGUCAGAUGAAUCUAUGCUUCCAAGAAAAGCUUCUAGGGAUAAUCAAACAAGUACCUGUACCGCAAACCGACACAGGUGGACGAGGAGAGAAUCUAAAGACGCGCGAGAUAACCCUUGUUAAGGAACUCGGCAAAUUUACCCCGUAAGUUCGCGAUAAGGGGAGCUUUAAGUAAUUAAAGCCGCAGAGAAGCGGCCCAAGCAACUGUUUACCAAAAACACAGGUCUCUGCUAAACCGCAAGGUGACGUAUAGGGGCUGACACCUGCCCAGUGCUGGAAGGUUAAGAGGAGAAGUUAGCGCAAGCGAAGCUUUGAAUUGAAGCCCCAGUGAACGGCGGCCGUAACUAUAACGGUCCUAAGGUAGCGAAAUUCCUUGACAGGUAAGUUCUGUCCCGCACGAAUGGUGUAAUGACUUGGGCACUGUCUCAACAAGGGACUCGGUGAAAUUUUAGUACCUGUGAAGAUGCAGGUUACCCGCGACUAGACGGAAAGACCCCAUGGAGCUUUACUGUAGCUUGAUAUUGAUAUUCGGUCAUUAAUGUACAGGAUAGGUGGGAGACUAUGAAGCCGGGACCUCAGUUUCGGUGGAGUCGACGUUGGGAUACCACCCUUUGGUUAUUGAGUAUCUAACUCGCUGGUGUGGAACCAGGAGGACAGUGUCUGGUGGUCAGUUUGACUGGGGCGGUCGCCUCCCAAAGAGUAACGGAGGCGCACAAAGGUUAGCUCAGAAUGGUUGGGAAUCAUUCGUAGAGUGUAAUGGCAGAAGCUAGCUUGACUGCGAGUCGUACAUGACGAGCAGAGACGAAAGUCGGUCAUAGUGAACUGGCGAUUCCGAAUGGAAGGGUCGUCAAUCAACGGAUAAAAGUUACCCUGGGGAUAACAGGCUGAUGACUUCCAAGAGUACACAUCGACGAAGUCGUUUGGCACCUCGAUGUCGGCUCAUCGCAUCCUGGAGCUGGAGUCGGUUCCAAGGGUUGGGCUGUUCGCCCAUUAAAGCGGUACGUGAGCUGGGUUCAGAACGUCGUGAGACAGUUCGGUCCCUAUCUGUCGCGGGCGUUGGAAAUUUGAAGGGAGCUGUCCUUAGUACGAGAGGACCGGGAUGGACAUACCACUGGUGCACCAGUUGGCUCGCCAGAGCCACAGCUGGGUAGCUACGUAUGGAAGGGAUAAACGCUGAAAGCAUCUAAGCGUGAAGCCCCCCCUAAGAUGAGAUUUCCCAUUCGCUUGA